UACAGAGGUCCCAAGCGUUGUUCGGAUUCAUUGGGCGUAAAGGGUGUGUAGGUGGCGCCGUAAGUCGGGUGUGAAAUCUCGGGGCUUUAACUCCGAAACUGCAUUCGAUACUGCGGUGCUUGAGGACUGGGAGAGGAGACUGGAAUUCAUGGUGUAGCAGUGAAAUGCGUAGAGAUCAUGAGGAAGACCAGUGGCGAAGGCGGGUCUCUGGGCCGAUACUGACGCUGAGGAGCGAAAGCGUGGGGAGCGAACAGG
This 255-nucleotide ribosomal RNA is filed under the name uncultured bacterium. Its description in RNAcentral is "partial 16S ribosomal RNA". It matches the Rfam family "Bacterial small subunit ribosomal RNA", at positions 524 to 776 of the family's 1533-position model. The record is from RNAcentral.